RNAcentral lists this ribosomal RNA (497 nucleotides) under uncultured bacterium. RNAcentral describes it as "partial 16S ribosomal RNA". It matches the Rfam family "Bacterial small subunit ribosomal RNA", at positions 28 to 507 of the family's 1533-position model. The record is from RNAcentral.
GAUGAACGCUGGCGGCGUGCCUAAUACAUGCAAGUCGAGCGAACGGACGAGAAGCUUGCUUCUCUGAUGUUAGCGGCGGACGGGUGAGUAACACGUGGAUAACCUACCUAUAAGACUGGGAUACCUUCGGGAAACCGGAGCUAAUACCGGAUAAUAUUUUGAACCGCAUGGUUCAAAAGUGAAAGACGGUCUUGCUGUCACUUAUAGAUGGAUCCGCGCUGCAUUAGCUAGUUGGUAAGGUAACGGCUUACCCAGGCAACGAUGCAUAGCCGACCUGAGAGGGGGAUCGGCCACACUGGAACUGAGACACGGUCCAGACUCCUACGGGAGGCAGCAGUAGGGAAUCUUCCGCAAUGGGCGAAAGCCUGACGGAGCAACGCCGCGUGAGUGAUGAAGGUCUUCGGAUCGUAAAGCUCUGUUAUUAGGGAAGAACAUAUGUGUAAGUAACUGUGCACAUCUUGACGGUACCUAAUCAGAAAGCCACGGCUAACUACGUG